GACGUAGGUGGCGAACGUUAUCCGGAAUUAUUGGGCGUAAAGGGUGCGUAGGCGGCAUGAUAAGUUAUUGGCGGGAAAUCGAGGCUCAACCUCGUGGAAACUAAUAAUACUGUUUUGCUUGAGUACAGGAGAGGUUAACGGAACUCCAUGUGGAGCGGUAAAAUGUGUAGAUAUAUGGAAGAACAUCAAUAACGGCGAAGGCAGUUAACUAGUCUGUUACUGACGUUGAGGCACGAAAGCGUGGGGAGCAAAACGG
Molecule: ribosomal RNA, 256 nt
Filed under: uncultured bacterium
Lineage: Bacteria
Description: partial 16S ribosomal RNA
Rfam family: Bacterial small subunit ribosomal RNA
Source: RNAcentral